UGGUCAGUAGGUUGGUCGUGCCACCGGUACGUACUGGUCUCACUGAUUCCUCCUUCCUGAAGAACCGUAAUGCCAUUAAUUUGGUGUUGCGGGGAAACAGGACUGUCACUUUGAAAAAAUUAGAGUGUUUAAAGCAAGCUAACGCUUGAAUACAUUAGCAUGGAAUAAUGAAAUAGGACGAUCGAUCCUAUUUUGUUGGUUUCUAGGAUUGACGUA
Molecule: ribosomal RNA, 216 nt
Filed under: Glomeromycotina sp.
Lineage: Eukaryota; Fungi; Glomeromycota
Description: partial small subunit ribosomal RNA
Rfam family: Eukaryotic small subunit ribosomal RNA (bases 40-216)
Source: RNAcentral